This 2413-nucleotide long non-coding RNA is filed under the name Canis lupus familiaris (dog). RNAcentral describes it as "lncRNA (ENSCAFG00845026033.1)". The record is from RNAcentral. Lineage: Eukaryota; Metazoa; Chordata; Mammalia; Carnivora; Canidae.
GCAAUAUAUUAAUAGAUUUGAUCUAAUGGUCACAUAUAGAACAUCUAAGAACUACAAAUGCAUUUCUUUUUGAGAAAGGAUGGGUUAUUUAUAAAAAUGAAUAUAUCCUAUAUCAUAAUGGAAGUCAAAACAAAUUUAAGAUAGUAAAAUGAUAGAGUAUGUUUUACCACAAAUGCAAUUCAGUUAGAAAUCACUAACAAAAAGAUAUCUAGAAAGAAAAAAAUCAGUAUAUGUGAAAACUAAAUAAGAAAGUUCUAAGUAACCCAUGGGUCAAAGAAGAAAUCAUAAUAUAAAUUAGAAGUUUUUAGAAUUACACCUAAAUAAAGAUACUACCUAUAAAAACUUAGUGGGAGCAACCAAAGCUGAAAAAAGGGUAAUUUUUAGUUUAUAUUUUAGAGAAUUUAAGCUUAUACAUUUGAAGAUAUAGAUGAAUUCCUAGAAAAAUAUAACUCCCCAAAACUGACUCAAGAAGAAAUAAAAAGCCCUGGUACAAAGAAGAUUUCAGAGUCCUGAGUUCAAAUUUAUCUUCAGAUAAAUUUAUCAGAAGUUUUACAAACAUGGCUAUUCCUUCUGUGUAGACUUAGAGAAUAGGAAGAGUAAUGUCUAGAAUAAAAUGCUCCUUAGAAGGAAUAUGAAAAAGAUAAUCCCAUAGAAAAAGAGGCAAAAGAUUUGCACAUUUUCAUAAAAGAGAACUUUCUUUUGUAUUUUUAUAUUUUUAAAAUAGCUUUAUUGAGGUAUAGUUUAUGUACCAAGAAAAACAACAACAAAAAAUCCCUGAACAUAUUUAAAGUAUACAAUUUAAUAAGUUAGGAGAUUCGCAGACAGCUGUGAAACCAUCACUACAAUCAAAGUAAUAAAAUAUCUACUACCUCCAAAAGCUUCCUCCUUCUGCUUAGCCCUCCCUUUAUUUGUGUGUUUGUGUGUAAGAACACUCAGCAUGAGACUUAUCCUCUUCACAAAUUUUUAAAUGUAUAACAUUAAUUUGUUAACUAUAGUCACUGUUGUUCCAUAAAUGUCAUAAAAAGACUCAUAAAAAGAUCCUUAAUCUUCUCCCCUCCCGACCUUCCCCUCUGUCUUGUCUAUCAGUGGUCUUAUUCAACAGUGUAUUCCCAGAGCAUUAGAAAACAGAAUAGGAUCUGGCUCAUAGUAGACUUUCAGUAAAUAUUUAUGUGAACUAUAAAUAAAUAUGCAUAGUUGAAAUCAUCCAAGUGGAAGAGAAAGCACAAAGAAAAAAAUGAAAGGAAUAAUAAAGAGGCUAAAGGUCAAAGUCUCCAGAACACUGGCAUGCAAGGUACUGUAGGAUUCAGGAGAGGGCCUGAAGAGUAGAUGGGAUGUAGAAGCAAGGGCAGAAAGGGGAGCAUAGCAGUGUGGUCAGGGCUAUCUUUGGCUGCAAGGAACUGAACACCUAACUAAGAGUGGCUUGAAUAAUAGGCUUUUAUAAUCUCACAUAAUAGUCUGGGGGUAGGUAGUUCCAAGGUUAAUUAGUACCGUAUUUUCUCCAUGUCAAAACUCUAUAUUAGCUCCUGCUAAUUCUCCUGGCUUUCCUCUAUGGUCACAAAAAGACCUGCCACAAUAUCAGAUAUUAAAAAUUAUGUCUUAAGAUAGGAAUUGUGCACAGUAGGAGCUUAUCCUUAAGUCUCAUGGGCCAGAACCAACUCCUAAACCAAUUACAGCGAAGGGGAAGGAGAUUUCCUUGAUUGGCUUAAGCCAGUCAUUUCCUGGGGCUGGGGAAGAGGCCUGCUGCCCUUGGGCAUCCUGCUGUUCUAUACCUGAACACAGCUGGCACCUGGGCGUAGGGAAGACAGGCAACAGUGUAUCUGCUGUGGGGUUCAAAGAAAGAGGUGCUCAAGGAAGGAGUCAGUUGAUUCAAUGACAGCUGAGAGGUCAUUCAUAUAAGGCAAGGAUGGAAGGUGAUUGCUGGAUUUGACAAUAAAGAGAAGGUUGAUGGCAGUGAUAACAGUAAUUUCUGUGGGGCAGAGGAGGAAGUUGGGGGGUGGGGGCUACCAGGUUAUGGUGAGUUAAAGAGUAAAUGGGAAACAGAGGGUGAAGGUAGGAAGGGAAGGCAGUGUGUUUGAGGAUCUGAUCUGUCAGGGAGAUGAGAGAUCCUGAGGCUGGCCUGAUCCAUUAUGCUCCCCAGCCAGGGCCAAAUCAGCUGGGACAUUCUCUGCUGGUGUAUUUCAGAACUUUUUGAAUAAUUCCCAGAACUGAUAAUAUUAGUUUAUUACUUGUUCCUCUGACCAUUCUAGUUACUUUUCUUUGACUUUUUAGUUCCCGCAUUUCUUUCAUGAAAUAUGGUAAUCAGAACUCUACAUAGGCUUUUGUUGAAUUUAAAAAUGGCUUUUCUCAUUAUAAAAAUGUUUUAUCACAAAAAAACACAUAAAACCGAAUGAUACAGAAGGAAAAUAAAAAAAAA